RNAcentral lists this ribosomal RNA (453 nucleotides) under uncultured bacterium. RNAcentral describes it as "bacterial SSU rRNA". It matches the Rfam family "Bacterial small subunit ribosomal RNA", at positions 340 to 786 of the family's 1533-position model. The record is from RNAcentral.
UACGGAAGGCAGCAGUGGGGAAUAUUGCACAAUGGGCGCAAGCCUGAUGCAGCCAUGCUGCGUGUAUGAAGAAGGCCUUCGGGUUGUAAAGUACUUUCAGUCGUGAGGAAGGUGUUAAGGUUAAUAACCUUAGCAAUUGACGUUAGCGACAGAAGAAGCACCGGCUAACUCCGUGCCAGCAGCCGCGGUAAUACGGAGGGUGCGAGCGUUAAUCGGAAUUACUGGGCGUAAAGGGCACGCAGGCGGUUAAUUAAGUUGGAUGUGAAAUCCCCGGGCUUAACCUGGGAAUGGCAUUCAAGACUGGUUAGCUAGAGUCUUGUAGAGGGGGUAGAAUUCCAUGUGUAGCGGUGAAAUGCGUAGAGAUGUGGAGGAAUACCGGUGGCGAAGGCGGCCCCUGGACAAAGGCUGACGCUCAUGUGCGAAAGCGUGGGGAGCAAACAGGGAUUAGAUACC